CGCAGAGCUUCUCCAUCUUAAAACCUAGAAACCCUAGCAGAACCUCUAUAAAUGGAUAGUCACCGCCCACCUACCUGCCAUCAUACACUCAGUGAGCAACAUCAAACUUCUCUUCUUUUUCCUCUUUUACUGUUUUUUCCAUUAAUUUUAUUUGCUUUGAUGUAGAAGGAAGAGUCGCUAUGAGGACUCUGUAAAAGAUCAAGCUCAACAGACCGGAUUGCCAGGGGCUCAUGCCUUUGCAUGUCGAUCUCCUUCUUCCCUGAGCCAUCUCUUCUUACAUCUUUCAUUUUUUAUAUCUAUUUUUGUAAACA
Molecule: long non-coding RNA, 311 nt
Filed under: Solanum tuberosum (potato)
Lineage: Eukaryota; Viridiplantae; Streptophyta; Magnoliopsida; Solanales; Solanaceae
Description: long non-coding RNA (STUB_LNC003803)
Source: RNAcentral